This 910-nucleotide ribosomal RNA is filed under the name uncultured crenarchaeote. Its description in RNAcentral is "bacterial SSU rRNA". It matches the Rfam family "Archaeal small subunit ribosomal RNA", at positions 5 to 922 of the family's 1478-position model. Lineage: Archaea; Thermoproteati; Thermoproteota. The record is from RNAcentral.
CGGUUGAUCCUGCCGGACCUGACUGCUAUCGGAUUGGUACUAAGCCAUGCGAGUCGUUGUAGCAAUACAAGGCGGACGGCUCAGUAACACGUAGUCAACCUAACCUAUGGACGUGGAUAACCUCGGGAAACUGAGAAUAAACCGCGAUAGAUCAUUAUGCCUGGAAUGGCUUAUGGUUCAAACAAUUUAUUGCCGUAGGAUGGGACUGCGGCCUAUCAGCUUGUUGGUGAGGUAAUGGCCCACCAAGGCUAUAACAGGUACGGGCUCUGAGAGGAGAAGCCCGGAGAUGGGUACUGAGACACGGACCCAGGCCCUAUGGGGCGCAGCAGGCGAGAAACCUUAGCAAUGUGCGAAAGCACGACUAGGUUAAUCCGAGUGAUUUCUGUUGAAGAAAUCUUUUGUCAGUUGUAAAACCACAGACGAAUAAGGGGUGGGCAAGUCUGGUGUCAGCCGCCGCGGUAAUACCAGCACCUCGAGUGGUCAGGAGGUUUAUUGGGCCUAAAGCAUCCGUAGCCGGCUUUGCAAGUCUCCGGUUAAAUCCAGCUGCUCAACAGAUGGGCUGCCGGAGAUACUACAAAGCUAGGGAGCGGGAGAGGUAGACGGUAUUCGGUGGGUAGGGGUAAAAUCCACUGAUCCAUCGAGGACCACCAGUGGCGAAGGCGGUCUACCAGAACGCGUUCGACGGUGAGGGAUGAAAGCUGGGGGAGCAAACCGGAUUAGAUACCCGGGUAGUCCCAGCUGUAAACGAUGCAAACCCGGUGAUGCAUUGACUUAUGGCCAAUGCAGUGCCGCAGGGAAGCCGUUAAGUUUGCCGCCUGGGAAGUACGGACGCAAGUCUGAAACUUAAAGGAAUUGGCGGGGGAGCACCACAAGGGGUGAAGCCUGCGGUUCAAUUGGAUUCAACGCCGGA